GCUUUAUUGUUAGUUUUGCCCAGAAUUCCAUUCAUCCUUUCCUCCUUGUGGACAAUGAGAACUGUUGGCUCUGCCCUUGGACAAAUCAAUCAACCCUAGAAACGUGUUUCUCUGUGGCCCAAAUGAUAUGAAGGUUAUGGUGAGAUAUCCUCAAGCAUCCACAACCUCAAGGAUCUUAUUUAUUUCAGGAAAUAAAUAAUAUUGAGGAGAAGAUUUUUCUCUUUUCCUAUUGAGGAGGGUCAUUGAAAGAUGAAACUGCCAGUGGACCUGUGAGCUGGACCUGGGAGAUGGGAUGCUCCUCCCCCCUCCCCUGUUCUUGAAAUAUGGGUUCCACUUGCCUUUCUGGAUCCCAGAGGCUGCUGCAAGGACAUAGUCUUAAGAUAAUGAUGUGAUGUUGGGAACACCUGCACGGUGUAUGUGACUGAACUCUGUUAAUGCCUCUUGAUAAACUUUUAGGAUUUGGCAGGUGGGUGCGGGAUCCAUUCAUUUUGUGCCACACAGCACAAGCCUGGGUGUAAGUUCCAUUGGCUAUUAUUAAAACUACCACCUUACCAACCUGGA
Long non-coding RNA from Neofelis nebulosa (Clouded leopard), 561 nucleotides. RefSeq lists it as uncharacterized. The transcript has 2 exons. NCBI's taxonomy places the organism in Eukaryota, Metazoa, Chordata, Mammalia, Carnivora, Felidae. The record is from RefSeq and is a predicted model, not a curated record.